UUAAAUUUAUUUAUUUAUUUUUUAUUUAUUUUUUUAUUUUAGUAUUUAUGAAUUUUAUUUAUUUAUUUUACUGAAGAGGCAAAUUAAUUAUAAUUCAUAUAUAAUUAUAUAGUACCUUUUGUAUCAGGGUGAAUUUAUUAACAUAUUUAUAUUAUUAUCCCGAAAAUAGGUUAUUUAGAUUAAUAUUUUUUUCUUGUUGAAUUAAGAUUUUAAAUAUUUUUUUGGUAGUAAUAUGUUAUUCGCUUCUUUUUAUAUCUGGUUAUCUAAGUUUUCAAUUUAAUUGACUAUUAAUGGUUUUGAUAGUAUAAUAUUUGGGAUAAGCUUGAUUUUUUCUUACAUUUAUUUAUUCUUUAUUUUUAUUAUUAUUUAAAUCUUAAUUUUAGUUCUUAAUAGAUUUAAAUUUUUAUUUUUUAUUUAUUUUUUUUUAUGUUCUUAUUAGAUUAAUAUACUUAAUAUUAUUUUAUUUUUAAUAAUUAUUUAAUUAGUAUAAUUUUUAUUUUAUUUUAAAUGAACUCGACAAUUAAUAUUCCCAACUGUUUAACAAAAACAUUUUUUUUAGUUUUAUUUUAAAGAUAUAUUCUGCCCUAUGAUGAUUUAAAUGGCUGCAGUAUUUUGACUGUGCAAAGGUAGCAUAAUAAUUAGUCAUUUAAUUGUUGACUUGUAUGAAUGAAUGAAUGAGGUAUAAUUUUUAUUAACUUAAUUAUUAUAAUUUUAUUUUUAAGUAAAAAAGCUUAUUUGAUUUUUAGGGACGAAAAGACCCUAGAGAACUUUAUUAAUUUUUAAUUUAUUUUAUAUAGUUUUUUAUUCAAUUAAAUUUUAUAAAUUUUUUUGGUUGGGGUGACAGUUAAAUUUAACUUUAAUUAUUUUUUUCAUUUUUUAUGUUUUUAUUGAUCCUAUAAUUUAGAUUAUAAGUUUAAGUUACCUUAGGGAUAACAGCGUAAUUUUAAUGGAAAGUUCAUAUUUAUAUUAAAGUUUGCGACCUCGAUGUUGAAUUAAGAUAAAUGAAAGGGGCAGGUUCUUUUUUUUUAAGUCUGUUCGACUUUUAUAUUCUUACAUGAUUUGAGUUCAAACCGGCGUAAGCCAGGUUGGUUUCUAUCUUAAAAUUAAUUAUCUUUUUUAGUACGAAAGGACCAAAGAGUUCAAUUAUAUUGUUUUAUUUGAUU
RNAcentral lists this ribosomal RNA (1163 nucleotides) under Kolla paulula. Its description in RNAcentral is "16S ribosomal RNA". Lineage: Eukaryota; Metazoa; Arthropoda; Insecta; Hemiptera; Cicadellidae. The record is from RNAcentral.